AUUGAACGCUGGCGGCAGGCCUAACACAUGCAAGUCGAGCGGAUGAAGGGAGCUUGCUCCUGGAUUCAGCGGCGGACGGGUGAGUAAUGCCUAGGAAUCUGCCUGGUAGUGGGGGAUAACGUCCGGAAACGGGCGCUAAUACCGCAUACGUCCUGAGGGAGAAAGUGGGGGAUCUUCGGACCUCACGCUAUCAGAUGAGCCUAGGUCGGAUUAGCUAGUUGGUGGGGUAAAGGCCUACCAAGGCGACGAUCCGUAACUGGUCGGAGAGGAUGAUGAGUCAAACGGGAACAUAAGCACGCUCCAGAACAGUGCGGUAAGAAGCCGUGCGGAGUAUUGGAGAAGGGGGUGAUGCGUGAUACAGACAUAUCGCGGGAAUGAAGAAGGUCUUCUGCUUGUUGUGCACUUUAGUUUGUAAGAAAAAACAAUAAGGUAAUACCUUGCGGUCAUGACGGUGCCCAAAGAAGAAGCACCGGCCAACUUCGUG
This 484-nucleotide ribosomal RNA is filed under the name uncultured bacterium. RNAcentral's name for it is "partial 16S ribosomal RNA". It matches the Rfam family "Bacterial small subunit ribosomal RNA", at positions 30 to 507 of the family's 1533-position model. The record is from RNAcentral.